This 780-nucleotide ribosomal RNA is filed under the name Arthrobacter humicola. RNAcentral's name for it is "bacterial SSU rRNA". It matches the Rfam family "Bacterial small subunit ribosomal RNA", at positions 86 to 876 of the family's 1533-position model. The record is from RNAcentral. Lineage: Bacteria; Bacillati; Actinomycetota; Actinomycetes; Micrococcales; Micrococcaceae.
UGGUGAUUAGUGGCGAACGGGUGAGUAACACGUGAGUAACCUGCCCUUAACUCUGGGAUAAGCCUGGGAAACUGGGUCUAAUACCGGAUAUGACUCCUCAUCGCAUGGUGGGGGGUGGAAAGCUUUUUUGUGGUUUUGGAUGGACUCGCGGCCUAUCAGCUUGUUGGUGAGGUAAUGGCUCACCAAGGCGACGACGGGUAGCCGGCCUGAGAGGGUGACCGGCCACACUGGGACUGAGACACGGCCCAGACUCCUACGGGAGGCAGCAGUGGGGAAUAUUGCACAAUGGGCGAAAGCCUGAUGCAGCGACGCCGCGUGAGGGAUGACGGCCUUCGGGUUGUAAACCUCUUUCAGUAGGGAAGAAGCGAAAGUGACGGUACCUGCAGAAGAAGCGCCGGCUAACUACGUGCCAGCAGCCGCGGUAAUACGUAGGGCGCAAGCGUUAUCCGGAAUUAUUGGGCGUAAAGAGCUCGUAGGCGGUUUGUCGCGUCUGCCGUGAAAGUCCGGGGCUCAACUCCGGAUCUGCGGUGGGUACGGGCAGACUAGAGUGAUGUAGGGGAGACUGGAAUUCCUGGUGUAGCGGUGAAAUGCGCAGAUAUCAGGAGGAACACCGAUGGCGAAGGCAGGUCUCUGGGCAUUAACUGACGCUGAGGAGCGAAAGCAUGGGGAGCGAACAGGAUUAGAUACCCUGGUAGUCCAUGCCGUAAACGUUGGGCACUAGGUGUGGGGGACAUUCCACGUUUUCCGCGCCGUAGCUAACGCAUUAAGUGCCCCGCCUGG